Molecule: long non-coding RNA, 1024 nt
Organism: Mustela erminea (ermine)
Lineage: Eukaryota; Metazoa; Chordata; Mammalia; Carnivora; Mustelidae
Exons: 3
Source: RefSeq, a predicted model, not a curated record
CCUGCCAGCUUCUCACGAGAGCCAGCCCAGGCCCUGGUAUUCUCCGGGGGUGGGUCCAGGUGCGGCACCUAAUCCUCCGCUCAUUUUGCUGCAAUUCAAUAUCAGCCUCCAAUUUUCACGCUCUGCUGCCAUCCUACCUUCCUCCUUCUGGCCUCUGCUGGGGGAAGGGAGACCCGAGGACUCCCUGCAAUGCCUCUGAGAGCCCCCUGGAAGUCUCUUGGGCUGACCCCACCCCUAGACAUACUCAGCUGGAAGAGGAGCAUUGACCUUGGGAGGGAGGGACUGCUGUUCCCACUAAAGGAGCAAGGCCUGGGCAUCCAGAGGCCUGGGGGUGGAUCCUGGUUCCACCUCCUAGGCUGUCUCGCUAUGGAAUCCAAAGCCGUACAGGUUCUCCCAGCGUCCAGCUUGAAUUUAAGUCAUGUCACACGAACGCAAUGAUCAGCGUGUCCUGUUCCUCCAAAAGUUCAACGGAGUUCCCAUGUGGCCCAGUUCAUGCUAUGACGUGGAUGAAUGUUUUAGAUUACUGCCGAGGGAAAGAAGCCAGACGCAAAAGGCCCCAAACAGUAAUUCAUGCUUCAGCAUGGCCGAAACAGUCUUGGAAAAGAACAGAGUCAGAGGAGUCACACUUCCUGAUUUGAACUUACUACAAAGCUGCGGUGGCAUUCUGCAUCAAGACUAUGUGGUUCCAUCAAUGGAUUGGACUUGACAGUCCAGAAAUAAGCCCAUAUAUUUAUGGGUAAGUGAUUUUCAGUGAAGGUGUCAGGACAAAUCAAUGAGGAAAUAAUAAUCUUUCAACAAAUGAUGCUGGGACAACUGGAUGUCUAACAUGCAAAAGAAUUAAUUUACACCCCUUGACUAAAAUUAAGUCAAAAUGAUCAAAGACCUAAUGUAAGAGACUAUAAAACUGGCAGAAGAAAACAUACGGGUUAGUCUCUUUGAACUUGGAGGAGAUGCUUUCUUAGAUACGACAGCUAAAGCACAAUCAAUCAAUCAAUCAAAUUGGAUAUCAUCGAAAUUAAAAACU